Molecule: transfer RNA, 85 nt
Filed under: Pseudomonadota bacterium
Lineage: Bacteria; Pseudomonadati; Pseudomonadota
Also listed under: 1 other name
Description: tRNA-Leu
Rfam family: tRNA
About the family: Transfer RNA (tRNA) molecules are approximately 80 nucleotides in length.
Source: RNAcentral
GCCCGGGUGGCGAAAUGGCAGACGCACGGGACUUAAAAUCCCGAGGAGGUCAAACUCCGUGCGGGUUCGAGUCCCGCCCCGGGCA